UACGGAGGGUGCAAGCGUUAUCCGGAUUCACUGGGUUUAAAGGGUGCGUAGGUGGGCUGGUAAGUCAGUGGUGAAAUCCCCGAGCUUAACUUGGAAACUGCCGUUGAUACUAUCUGUCUUGAAUACCGUGGAGGUGAGCGGAAUAUGUCAUGUAGCGGUGAAAUGCUUAGAUAUGACAUAGAACACCAAUUGCGAAGGCAGCUCACUACACGAAUAUUGACUCUGAGGCACGAAAGCGUGGGGAUCAAACAGG
Molecule: ribosomal RNA, 253 nt
Filed under: uncultured bacterium
Lineage: Bacteria
Description: partial 16S ribosomal RNA
Rfam family: Bacterial small subunit ribosomal RNA
Source: RNAcentral